GUUUGUAUGUGUGUGUGUGUGUGUGCAUUCUACUGUACUCUCAACACCCAUCACUGGCCUGCAGGGUGCUGGUGGUAGACUGGGAUGUGCACCACGGCAGCGGCAUCCAGCACGUGUUUGUGGCCGAACCGAGGGUGCUGUACGUGUCCCUCCACCGCCACCACCAUGGCCUCUUCUUCCCAUCCUCUGAGGACCCAAACUACGACGAGUGGGGACGGGACCUGGCCAAGGCUACAACAUUAACAUUACCUGGAACAAGAGUGGCAUGGGUGACGCAGAGGCUCUCACUCAGGUGGUGCUGCCCGUGGCCUACCAGUUCAACCCACAGCUGGUCCUGGUCACUGCCAGCCUUGAUGCUGGUGCAGGGACCCACUUGGAGGUUGCCGCGUGAGUCCCGAUUGCUUUGGACAUAUGAAGGCCCUUCUGUCUGGCCUGGCCGAGGGCCGCAUGGUUCUGGCACUGGAGGGCGGCUUCAACCUCACCACCAUCAGCUACUGCAUGACGCUGUGUGCCAAGGCCUUGCUGAGGGAUCCGCUGCCCCCCCUUGAGCCCCAGCUGGUGCCCAACAAGAGUGCCGUGCAGACCAUCAAUGACGUCAUCCGUACCCACAGCCGCUACUGGCCGGCGCUCUGCUUCAAGAAAGAAGCAGCAGAAGAAGAAAAGAAGAGAAGGAAGAGAAGGAGAGGGUAUAUGGACAGAAUUUAAACUGAUUUCUUUCAACAUAUAUUUUAUUAUUAUUAUUGAAAGACAAACUUCUCUUCUUCACUUCCUCCUUCUUCUUCUUCUCUUUCUUCUUCAUCUUUUGUUGGGGUUCUGAUAGGAAGAGAAAUAAUAAAAAUAAUGAGAAAGAAUUAGCUCUAUAGAGAGAAAGAGGGGGGGGGGGGACCCAUAUAUGUGUCUGUGGGGGUCAUCCUGUGGAUCCUGAGAGAGAGAGAGAGAGAGAGAGAGAGAGAGAGAGAGAGAGAGAGAGAGAGAGAGAGAGAGAGAGAGAGAGAGCACAGCCUUCUGUCUCUUUCUCUUCCUUCUCCUUAUUCUUUCUCUCUUUUCUACUACUACUACUACUACUACUACUACUACUACAUUUCCUCAGUAGUUAGUUAGUCAGUCAAUCAGUGUGUGUGUAUCUCAAUCUCAGAAGUGCCUCCAUCUGUCCCUGCUCUGGCACUCUUGCUCUUCAAUUCCUCUUCUUCUAUCUCCUCCUCCUCCUCCUCCUCUUCUCACUUUCCCUGACAGUCCCUCCCUCAAGCCUUCCCUCAUACACUCUCUUCACAAACCCAUUCUCAUCACGUGUCCAAACCAUCUGGGCGCAGCACACUCCACUUCUUUCGCUGCCACACCCACACCAAACCACUCAUACACACUUCAUUCUGCCUCGUCCUGACACACCACACACACCUCUUGUAUAACACCUUUCCACUGCACGUAUUCCCCCUUGCUCUGCUGCGUGUCAUGUACAGUACUUGGCUAAAGCUGUUUCUUGAUCCCCUCUUGGUCUCCGUGCUCACACUUCUUCCCUUCCUAACUCUGCCCUUCGCUGCUCUCUUCCUGACCUCACCUCCCUGUGGAUCUGGCCGCCCUAAACUCAUCUAUAUUCCUGCACUAUUCACUUCUGCUCUCCCUCCCACGUUCCCAUUCAUUACAGUUUAUUUAUCUCCUCAUUCCCUCUCACUAGCACUCCAUUUCUUGUUACAAUUGUCACUUUUCUCCCCUAUUUCUCUCCCAUUUAUCCUGGUGUGUGUGUGUGUGUGUGUGUGUGUGUGUGUGUGUGUGUGUGUGUGUGUGUGUGUGUGUGUGU
Long non-coding RNA from Eriocheir sinensis (Chinese mitten crab), 1795 nucleotides. RefSeq lists it as uncharacterized. NCBI's taxonomy places the organism in Eukaryota, Metazoa, Arthropoda, Malacostraca, Decapoda, Varunidae. The record is from RefSeq and is a predicted model, not a curated record. The transcript has 4 exons.